This 468-nucleotide ribosomal RNA is filed under the name uncultured bacterium. Its description in RNAcentral is "partial 16S ribosomal RNA". It matches the Rfam family "Bacterial small subunit ribosomal RNA", at positions 28 to 507 of the family's 1533-position model. The record is from RNAcentral.
GACGAACGCUGGCGGCGUGCUUAAUACAUGCAAGUCGAGCGGAAAGGCCCUGCUUUUGUGCGUUGCUCGAGUGGCGAACGCGUGUGUAUCACGUGAGUAUCCUCCCCCUGUCUUUCGGAUAACUUCAGGAAACACGGGCGAAUACCGGGUAGGAGCUCCUGCUCCAUGGUGUGCGUUGGUAAGUUUCGGCCGUGGGGGAUGGACUCGCUGCUUACCAGCUUCUAUGUCUGGUAGUGGCUUACCAAGGCUUUGACGGGUAGCCUGCCUGGGAGGGUGACCGGCGACAUGGGGACUGAGAUACGGCCCAGAAUGCUACGGGCGGCAGCGGGGGGGAGUCUGGCGCAAUGAGCGGACGCCUGAGGCAGCAGCGCCGCGUGCGUGAUGACGGCCUUCGAGGUGUAAACAGCUUUCGCAGGUGACAAAGAGGGAGUGACGGUAAUGAGUAAGAAAGCACCGGCUAACUACGUG